GACGAACGCUGGCGGCGUGCCUAAUACAUGCAAGUAGAACGCUGAAGGAGGAGCUUGCUUCUCUGGAUGAGUUGCGAACGGGUGAGUAACGCGUAGGUAACCUGCCUGGUAGCGGGGGAUAACUAUUGGAAACGAUAGCUAAUACCGCAUAAGAGUAGAUGUUGCAUGACAUUUGCUUAAAAGGUGCAAUUGCAUCACUACCAGAUGGACCUGCGUUGUAUUAGCUAGUUGGUGAGGUAACGGCUCACCAAGGCAACGAUACAUAGCCGACCUGAGAGGGUGAUCGGCCACACUGGGACUGAGACACGGCCCAGACUCCUACGGGAGGCAGCAGUAGGGAAUCUUCGGCAAUGGACGGAAGUCUGACCGAGCAACGCCGGGUGAGUGAAGAAGGUUUUCGGAUCGGAAAGCUCUGUUGUAAGAGAAGAACGAGUGUGAGAGUGGAAAGUUCACACUGUGACGGUAUCUUACCAGAAAGGGACGGCUAACUACGUG
This 495-nucleotide ribosomal RNA is filed under the name uncultured bacterium. RNAcentral's name for it is "partial 16S ribosomal RNA". It matches the Rfam family "Bacterial small subunit ribosomal RNA", at positions 28 to 507 of the family's 1533-position model. The record is from RNAcentral.